This 468-nucleotide ribosomal RNA is filed under the name uncultured bacterium. RNAcentral's name for it is "partial 16S ribosomal RNA". It matches the Rfam family "Bacterial small subunit ribosomal RNA", at positions 28 to 507 of the family's 1533-position model. The record is from RNAcentral.
GACGAACGCUGGCGGCGUGCUUAACACAUGCAAGUCGAACGGAAAGGCCCUGCUUUUGUGGGGUGCUCGAGUGGCGAACGGGUGAGUAACAAGUGAGUAACCUGCCCUUGACUUUGGGAUAACUUCAGGAAACUGGGGCUAAUACCGGAUAGGAGCUCCUGCUGCAUGGUGGGGGUUGGAUAGUUUCGGCGGUUGGGGAUGGACUCGCGGCUUAUCAGCUUGUUGGUGGGGUAGUGGCUUACCCAGGCUUUGACGGGUAGCCGGCCUGAGAGGGUGACCGGCCACAUUGGGACUGAGAUACGGCCCAGACUCCUACGGGAGGCAGCAGUGGGGAAUAUUGCACAAUGGGCGGAAGCCUGAUGCAGCAACGCCGCGUGCGGGAUGACGGCCUUCGGGUUGUAAACCGCUUUCGCCUGUGACGAAGCGUGAGUGACGGUAAUGGGUAAAGAAGCACCGGCUAACUACGUG